CCUACGGGGGGCAGCAGUGGGGAAUAUUGGGCAAUGGGCGCAAGCCUGACCCAGCAACGCCGCGUGAAGGAAGAAGGCUUUCGGGUUGUAAACUUCUUUUAAGGGGGAAGAGCAGAAGACGGUACCCCUUGAAUAAGCCACGGCUAACUACGUGCCAGCAGCCGCGGUAAUACGUAGGUGGCAAGCGGUGUCCGGAUUUACUGGGUGUAAAGGGCGUGCAGCCGGAGAGACAAGUCAGAUGUGAAAUCCACGGGCUCAACCCAUGAACUGCAUUUGAAACUGUUUCCCUUGAGUGUCGGAGAGGUAAUCGGAAUUCCUGGUGUAGCGGUGAAAUGCGUAGAUAUAAGGAAGAACACCAGUGGCGAAGGCGGAUUACUGGACGAUAACUGACGGUGAGGCGCGAAAGCGUGGGGAGCAAACAGGAUUAGAUACCCUUGUAGUC
RNAcentral lists this ribosomal RNA (442 nucleotides) under uncultured bacterium. RNAcentral's name for it is "partial 16S ribosomal RNA". It matches the Rfam family "Bacterial small subunit ribosomal RNA", at positions 338 to 795 of the family's 1533-position model. The record is from RNAcentral.